RNAcentral lists this transfer RNA (64 nucleotides) under Pachydactylus monicae. RNAcentral describes it as "tRNA-Trp". The record is from RNAcentral. Lineage: Eukaryota; Metazoa; Chordata; Lepidosauria; Squamata; Gekkonidae.
AAGUUUAAGUUAAAUAAACUCAGGGCCUUCAAAGCCCUAAAUAGGAAGUACACCCUAACUUCUG